Molecule: ribosomal RNA, 392 nt
Filed under: Clostridioides difficile
Lineage: Bacteria; Bacillati; Bacillota; Clostridia; Peptostreptococcales; Peptostreptococcaceae
Description: bacterial SSU rRNA
Rfam family: Bacterial small subunit ribosomal RNA
Source: RNAcentral
UAGUUGGUAAGGUAACGGCUUACCAAGGCGACGAUCAGUAGCCGACCUGAGAGGGUGAUCGGCCACAUUGGAACUGAGACACGGUCCAAACUCCUACGGGAGGCAGCAGUGGGGAAUAUUGCACAAUGGGCGAAAGCCUGAUGCAGCAACGCCGCGUGAGUGAUGAAGGCCUUCGGGUCGUAAAACUCUGUCCUCAAGGAAGAUAAUGACGGUACUUGAGGAGGAAGCCCCGGCUAACUACGUGCCAGCAGCCGCGGUAAUACGGAGGGGGCUAGCGUUAUCCGGAUUUACUGGGCGGAUAGGGUGCGUAGGCGGUCUUUCAAGUCAGGAGUGAAAGGCUACGGCUCAACCGUAGUAAGCUCUUGAAACUGGGAGACUUGAGUGCAGGAGAG